This 64-nucleotide transfer RNA is filed under the name Tachaea chinensis. RNAcentral's name for it is "tRNA-Trp". The record is from RNAcentral. Lineage: Eukaryota; Metazoa; Arthropoda; Malacostraca; Isopoda; Corallanidae.
AUGGCUUUAGGUUAAAAAAACUAAUAUUUUUCAAAAAUAAGAAUGUCUUAAUGGCAAGAGAGUG